GAAAGCAGAGGAGCUUGGGCCUUUGGGGUGGAUCUGUGGCCUGCAGAGAUCAGAUGGCCGGGGCUUGGCCACGUGCCGAGGAGCCUGCCCUGGGGGGCUGAGCCUGUGCCACCAGCUACAGCUGGGAGAGCAAGGGUCAGAGGAGGGGCCUCUGCUCGGGGAGGAUCCCACCCAGCUCCCCGCCUGGGGCGAGGGACUUUGUAGAGCCCCAGGUUGGCAAAGAAAGGAGCCAGUUCCAAAGCCAGACUGUUUUUUCCAAGUAUGACUUCAUUAACAACCUCACAGCAUUCCCCCCAAGUUCGGGUGGCAGGCGAUUUCAUCUUUUGAUGGAGACAGAGCUGAGGAAGGAGAAGUAAAAUGAAACCUUGCUGCCCUGCGAUGAGGAAAAACCACUGCUCCAGAUUUGCAACGACCCUACAGACAGAGGGACCUGGGAUUCUACCUCCUGAUGGAAAUAGCUGUCCUCAUCCUCCACGUCCAACCAAUGGCUCUGCCCUGGGCUCAUAGGCCGUCAGGUCUGCUCCUCCCAACCAGACGUUGAGGAGGGAGGCAGGCCUUGCACCUUUCAACAGGUGAGGAACCGGAAACCCAGGGGGGAAGUGACCAACGCUAGAGGCCAGAUAUCCCUCCCACUGCUGCAGCUCCUACAGAGGGACCUUGUAGACGAACCUGGACGGAGCAGUAGACCUCCUCCGCUCACCAGCCUGCAAAACCCUGCUGCUACCUCCUGCUGUACCCAAAAUACAGGCCUCAGGGGAGGGGAGAGGGUCGUGCUGGGCUGAGCCCAAGCCAGCUCUGCCCCUCUGAACAGGAGCCUAAAGGCCCCACCAAUAACCCCAGGACCAUGAUGUGCUACAGCCCAGAGGCCUAGUAGAAAGUGAGGAUACUGAGGCCCCACUGAAGGGAUGGAACUUACCCAAGGUCACACAGCGAGGUGUUGGUCCCAAGAACUCCCCAGUGUGCGUGUGCCCUUCGUGCUGAUCCCGGGGUCCAUCUCCCAGACAGCCCAACCCACAGCAGCUUCGAAGGGCCCCGACUCUGAGUCACCUUCAGCACCAGCAUCUUCAUCAUGAUGGCCGUGUGUUGGCACUCCCUGUGUGUAGAACUCAGUGCUGAGAACUCCAGGUGCGUCCUUCCAUUCGGUUCCUGAGACCGCCCUGGGAUCUGUCUUACAGCUCAGGCAAGACCGAGCAGAUGGAUAAUCCUGCUCAGCUAAGAACAGACAUUUGGCAGCCCCGAGUCCGGCCGUCCUCAUGCUGCUCUGCUGUUCAUACACCAGGAAGGAACACAGUCUUUAGGUUCCAGUGACUGUCAGAAAGGGAGGGGGCUUCCAACCAUACAGCCAAUUAUCCAGCCAGCCAGCCGUCCAUCCAUCCAAAAGAAAUCUGCUCCCUUUAUUAGUCCCCCUCCCUUCCCAACCACACGUGUGGCUUCGUCUGAGGACUGACCAGCACAUGGACCAGACCACGAAUCAAGUCCCUGCGCAGCCUGUGUUUCCACUAAGCCACUUGAUGUCACCUCUGAGGCUGGCCUGCCGGUGCCUCUUCCCAGAAUCUCUCCCUUCCUGGCACCUCCGCUCGACCGUGGGAGGCCCAGUGCGGCCUUGGGCCGCACUUCUGACAGAACACUCGGAUGAACCCUGGAAGGGGAGGACAACAGGGGGAAGGGUGCUUGUGGAAGGGUUUGCACAAGAUCCUGGUCCUACAGUUGUUCAUAGACGAGUCUCCUUCCUGGAAGCAGGCAGAUCCUCUAGAACCAGGACCUGAAGAUGCUCAGGUAUAGAGAGUGAAUGGUUCCCAGCGGGGUUAGUUGUAGAGAAGAGGGAGGGAAAUGGGCUUGGGAAUCCAGAACCUCAGGAACACGUAUGUCAGACCAUCACACCUCCUUUCAUCUCGAGCCUGCUCCCAAGAAGCUGUGCAGCCUCUGCUGUCACACCUCCUGUGACGGGCAGCUCACUACCUUUCUAAGCAGCUCUUUCCCACUCCUUCUGUGCUUCAGCGUCCCCCACCCAGGUCCGACUCAGCAGGGCCAUCAGAACAUUUGAGGGCAUCCCCCAACCAGACCCUGGAGAUUUUAUGCAAACCAAUCAUCACAGGAAGCGUCAAGUCCCUGGAAUUCGUUAAGCUUGAUGAGAGGAAGAACGUGAACGCCAGAUAUUCAUUAAAUGGGGACACAGAGGGAGCUUUCCUUCCAUGAGUGUUUGCUUCUGGGCCUCCACCAUUUCCCCCAAAUCUGCCCUAAUGCUAAGCCCUCCCUGUUGCCCAGUGCUCUCCCAUCCACCCCUCCCUUGGCCCUUACUAAGAUUCUGUAAGAUGGACAACGCUGGGCCUGUCUCCACCCUGCUGUCUUGUUCCCCAAACCCACUGGUGUCAUUUUUUCUUCCUGGGAAGGCGUGGCCUGGUUUCCAUGUAUUCAUGCAGUCGAACAACAAAGAUUCAACGAGCACCCACAACGUGUCGGGCACUGUGUCGGAUGCUGGGACCACGAGGAGGCCAGAGACCCACCUUCAAGCAGUACAGAGGCUCCAGGCAGAGCCAGAUGAUGGAAGAGGCAGUAGGAUUACAGGGGUGUCUAUGCGACAAAGCCCGGGGCCUCGCGUGACCCUGUCUCAGCCUUUGUGGCAUCCAAUGAAACAUACCCUGGUCGUCACGACUACACAAAACAGCAAGGUCAAUCUGUAUCUGUGUUACUUGAAAGAGUAAAGGUGAUCCCAUCCACAGCCCCAGCCACAUUACGCUCUCUGCAAAAUGCCCUCAUGCCUGUACAUUACAGCCCUUCCUGCUCGGAGACCCUCCCUCACGACACUUCUGAAAACAGGCCCUCGCACUUCUCUUUCCUUGCCCCCUCCCCUGUCAUCCAGCCUCACGGCCUCCGGCCAAGGGGCCCCUGCCUCCCUCGAAGGCCAAGCCAGGGGUUAUCAGAUGUUCCCAGUCAGAGGCCCCAGGAGCCCAACACUCUGGACCCUUCCGGCCGCUCAGGAGGCAGAGCUCCCUGCUCAGUGUGACUGCUUUCUCUGACAAGAAACGCUUGCCACCCGAAACUCCACCGUGUUGCAGAGGGAUGCACAAGUGUGGCCUGCGACAGGGGAGUCUUCCCAGAGGAGCAGGAGGUGGGAAAGGAGAGGGGAGGCCGUGGCAGGAAGGGUGGCCCAGACAGGGCUGCACGAGAGUCUGUGCUCGAUGCGGGAAAACACGAGGACCCGGUAGUUGCUCCUUCGUCCUUACAGCUUGUUGAAUAGGACGACUGGAUCUGGAUGGAAGAAGGUCUUCUCAUGAAGGCCCAUCACACAGACUCAAGUCAAGCGGCUGCUCUCUGCGCUUCAUACAAUUCCCACUUCCCGGUCUUGCGACACCAAGUGGCUUCGA
Long non-coding RNA from Felis catus (domestic cat), 3365 nucleotides. RefSeq lists it as uncharacterized. The record is from RefSeq and is a predicted model, not a curated record. NCBI's taxonomy places the organism in Eukaryota, Metazoa, Chordata, Mammalia, Carnivora, Felidae. The transcript has 3 exons.